UUAGUAGAGUUGGUCAUGCCUCUGGUAUGUACUGGUCUCACUCCAUUCCUCCUUCCUGAUGAACCGUAAUGCCAUUAAUUUGGUGUUGCGGGGAAUUUGGACUGUUACUUUGAAAAAAUUAGAGUGUUUAAAGCAAGCUAACGCUUGAAUACAUUAGCAUGGAAUAAUGAAAUAGGACGUUCGAUCCUAUUUUGUUGGUUUCUAGGAUUGACCUAAUGAUUAAUACGGAUGGUUGCGA
Molecule: ribosomal RNA, 238 nt
Filed under: uncultured Glomeromycotina
Lineage: Eukaryota; Fungi; Glomeromycota
Description: partial 18S ribosomal RNA
Rfam family: Eukaryotic small subunit ribosomal RNA (bases 26-238)
Source: RNAcentral